RNAcentral lists this ribosomal RNA (496 nucleotides) under uncultured bacterium. RNAcentral describes it as "partial 16S ribosomal RNA". It matches the Rfam family "Bacterial small subunit ribosomal RNA", at positions 29 to 507 of the family's 1533-position model. The record is from RNAcentral.
AUGAACGCUGGCGGCGUGCCUAAUACAUGCAAGUCGAGCGAACAGACGAGGAGCUUGCUCCUCUGACGUUAGCGGCGGACGGGUGAGUAACACGUGGAUAACCUACCUAUAAGACUGGGAUAACUUCGGGAAACCGGAGCUAAUACCGGAUAAUAUAUUGAACCGCAUGGUUCAAUAGUGAAAGACGGUUUUGCUGUCACUUAUAGAUGGAUCCGCGCCGCAUUAGCUAGUUGGUAAGGUAACGGCUUACCAAGGCGACGAUGCGUAGCCGACCUGAGAGGGUGAUCGGCCACACUGGAACUGAGACACGGUCCAGACUCCUACGGGAGGCAGCAGUAGGGAAUCUUCCGCAAUGGGCGAAAGCCUGACGGAGCAACGCCGCGUGAGCGAUGAAGGUCUUCGGAUCGUAAAACUCUGUUAUUAGGGAAGAACAAAUGUGUAAGUAACUAUGCACGUCUUGACGGUACCUAAUCAGAAAGCCACGGCUAACUACGUG